AGCAGCAGCCGCGGUAAUACGGAGGGUGCAAGCGUUAAUCGGAAUUACUGGGCGUAAAGCGCACGCAGGCGGUCUGACAAGUCAGAUGUGAAAUCCCCGGGCUUAACCUGGGAACUGCAUUUGAAACUGUCAGGCUGGAGUCUUGUAGAGGGGGGUAGAAUUCCAGGUGUAGCGGUGAAAUGCGUAGAGAUCUGGAGGAAUACCGGUGGCGAAGGCGGCCCCCUGGACGAAGACUGACGCUCAGGUGCGAAAGCGUGGGGAGCAAACAGGAUUAGAUACCCGUGUAGUCCCUGUCUCUUAUAC
Molecule: ribosomal RNA, 303 nt
Filed under: uncultured bacterium
Lineage: Bacteria
Description: partial 16S ribosomal RNA
Rfam family: Bacterial small subunit ribosomal RNA
Source: RNAcentral